RNAcentral lists this ribosomal RNA (253 nucleotides) under uncultured bacterium. RNAcentral describes it as "partial 16S ribosomal RNA". It matches the Rfam family "Bacterial small subunit ribosomal RNA", at positions 524 to 776 of the family's 1533-position model. The record is from RNAcentral.
GACGAAGGGGGCUAGCGUUGUUCGGAAUUACUGGGCGUAAAGCGCGUGUAGGCGGUUGCCCAAGUGGGGUGUGAAAGCCUUGAGCUUAACUCAAGAAAUGCACUCGGUACUGGGUGACUAGAGGACCGGAGAGGAUAGUGGAAUUCCCAGUGUAGUGGUGAAAUACGUAGAGAUUGGGAAGAACACCAGUGGCGAAGGCGGCUAUCUGGACGGUUUCUGACGCUAAGACGCGAAAGCGUGGGGAGCAAACAGG